GACGAACGCUGGCGGCGUGCUUAACACAUGCAAGUCGAACGGAAAGGCCCUGCUUUUGUGGGGUGCUCGAGUGGCGAACGGGUGAGUAACACGUGAGUAACCUGCCCUUGACUUUGGGAUAACUUCAGGAAACUGGGGCUAAUAUCGGAUAGGAGCUCCUGCUGCACGGUGGGCGUUGGAAAGUUUCGGCGGUGGGGGAUGGUCUCGCGGCUUAUCAGCUUGUUGGUGGGGUAGUGGCUUACCAAGGUUUUGACGGGUAGCCGGCCUGGGAGGGUGACCGGGCACAUGGGGACUGAGAGACGGCCCAGACGGCAACGGGAGGCAACAGUGGGGAAUAUGGCACAAUGGGCGGGAGCCUGAGGCAGAAGCGCCGCGUGCGGGAUAACGGCCUUCGGGUUAUAAACCGCUUUCGCCUGAGACGAGGCGUGAGUGACGGUAAUGGGUAAAGAAGCACCGGCUAACUACGUG
This 468-nucleotide ribosomal RNA is filed under the name uncultured bacterium. RNAcentral describes it as "partial 16S ribosomal RNA". It matches the Rfam family "Bacterial small subunit ribosomal RNA", at positions 28 to 507 of the family's 1533-position model. The record is from RNAcentral.